This 508-nucleotide ribosomal RNA is filed under the name uncultured bacterium. Its description in RNAcentral is "partial 16S ribosomal RNA". It matches the Rfam family "Bacterial small subunit ribosomal RNA", at positions 30 to 523 of the family's 1533-position model. The record is from RNAcentral.
AUUGAACGCUGGCGGCAUGCCUUACACAUGCAAGUCGAACGGCAGCGGGGGAGAAGCUUGCUUUUCCUGCCGGCGAGUGGCGAACGGGUGAGUAAUACAUCGGAACGUGCCCUGUAGUGGGGGAUAACUAGUCGAAAGAUUAGCUAAUACCGCAUACGACCUGAGGGUGAAAGUGGGGGACCGCAAGGCCUCAUGCUAUAGGAGCGGCCGAUGUCUGUUUAGCUAGUUGGUGGGGUAAAGGCUGACCAAGGCGACGAUCAGUAGCUGGUCUGAGAGGGUGAUCAGCCACACUGGGACUGAGAAACGGCCCAGACUCCUACGGGAGGCAGCAGUGGGGAAUUUUGGACAAUGGGCGAAAGCCUGAUCGAGCAAUGCCGCGUGUGUGAAGAAGGCCUUCGGGUUGUAAAGCACUUUUGUCCGGAAAGAAAUGGCUCUGGUUAAUACCUGGGGUCGAUGACGGUACCGGAAGAAUAAGGACCGGCUAACUACGUGCCAGCCGCCGCAGUAA